GCCAGACUCCUACGGGAGGCAGCAGUGAGGAAUAUUGGUCAAUGGGCGAGAGCCUGAACCAGCCAAGUCGCGUGAGGGAAGACGGUCCUACGGAUUGUAAACCUCUUUUGUCAGGGAGCAAGGAGCGCCACGAGUGGUGCGGCGAGAGUACCUGAAGAAAAAGCAUCGGCUAACUCCGUGCCAGCAGCCGCGGUAAUACGGAGGAUGCGAGCGUUAUCCGGAUUUAUUGGGUUUAAAGGGUGCGUAGGCGGAAGGUUAAGUCAGCGGUCAAAUGUCGGUGCUCAACACCGGCCUGCCGUUGAAACUGGUCUUCUUGAGUGAGCGAGAAGUAUGCGGAAUGCGUGGUGUAGCGGUGAAAUGCAUAGAUAUCACGCAGAACUCCGAUUGCGAAGGCAGCAUACCGGCGCUCAACUGACGCUGAGGCACGAAAGCGUGGGGAUCGAACAGGAUUAGAUACCCGAGUA
This 464-nucleotide ribosomal RNA is filed under the name uncultured bacterium. RNAcentral's name for it is "bacterial SSU rRNA". It matches the Rfam family "Bacterial small subunit ribosomal RNA", at positions 330 to 792 of the family's 1533-position model. The record is from RNAcentral.